CUGUUACUCAGAAGAGUAACUGUCAGGAUGACAAAGGAUAACCUCAGGAUGAGGUAACUGUUGCUCAGGAAGAGUAACUGUCAGGACGACAAAGGAACACCUCAGGAUGGAGUCGUUGUUACUCAGGAAGAGUAGCAAGCCAGGAUGGCAGAAGGAUCCACCACAAGAUGUGGUUAUCAGGAACUCUUCACGGAUGAAGAAAGUAACAGUCACGGAUUGAUUGUUACGCAGGAUGCUUAAAAGGAUGUCCCGAUGGAUCGGGGAAGGCCUUCAAGGAUGAGAUAAGACGAUGCUGUAGCAUCGCCGGCUUGGGCAACCAAGAUUUUAUAGGGGGUGACUCAUGUCGCCCUUUUAUUUUU
This 359-nucleotide non-coding RNA is filed under the name Tolumonas auensis DSM 9187. The record is from RNAcentral. Lineage: Bacteria; Pseudomonadati; Pseudomonadota; Gammaproteobacteria; Aeromonadales; Aeromonadaceae.